CCUACGUGCGGCUGCAGUGGGGAAUAUUGCACAAUGGGGGGAACCCUGAUGCAGCGACGCCGCGUGGGUGAAGGAGUAUUUCGGUAUGUAAAGCCCUAUCAGCAGGGAAGAACAAUGACGGUACCUGACUAAGAAGCACCGGCUAAAUACGUGCCAGCAGCCGCGGUAAUACUUAUGGUGCAAGCGUUAUCCGGAUUUACUGGGUGUAAAGGGCGUGCAGCCGGGAAGACAAGUCAGAUGUGAAAUCCCGCGGCUCAACCGCGGAACUGCAUUUGAAACUGUUUUUCUUGAGUACCGGAGAGGUCAUCGGAAUUCCUUGUGUAGCGGUGAAAUGCGUAGAUAUAAGGAAGAACACCAGUGGCGAAGGCGGAUGACUGGACGGCAACUGACGGUGAGGCGCGAAAGCGUGGGGAGCAAACAGGAUUAGAUACCCGAGUAGUC
RNAcentral lists this ribosomal RNA (441 nucleotides) under uncultured bacterium. RNAcentral's name for it is "partial 16S ribosomal RNA". It matches the Rfam family "Bacterial small subunit ribosomal RNA", at positions 338 to 795 of the family's 1533-position model. The record is from RNAcentral.